CUCCUUUGACGUUAGCGGCGGACGGGUGAGUAACACGUGGGUAACCUACCUAUAAGACUGGGAUAACUUCGGGAAACCGGAGCUAAUACCGGAUAAUAUUUCGAACCGCAUGGUUCGAUAGUGAAAGGUGGUUUUGCUAUCACUUAUAGGUGGACCCGCGCCGUAUUAGCUAGUUGGUAAGGUAACGGCUUACCAAGGCGACGAUACGUAGCCGACCUGAGAGGGUGAUCGGCCACACUGGAACUGAGACACGGUCCAGACUCCUACGGGAGGCAGCAGCC
This 281-nucleotide ribosomal RNA is filed under the name uncultured Staphylococcus sp. Its description in RNAcentral is "partial 16S ribosomal RNA". It matches the Rfam family "Bacterial small subunit ribosomal RNA", at positions 81 to 355 of the family's 1533-position model. Lineage: Bacteria; Bacillati; Bacillota; Bacilli; Caryophanales; Staphylococcaceae. The record is from RNAcentral.